AUUGAACGCUGGCGGCAGGCCUAACACAUGCAAGUCGAACGGUAACAGGAAGAAGCUUGCUUCUUUGCUGACGAGUGGCGGACGGGUGAGUAAUGUCUGGGAAACUGCCUGAUGGAGGGGGAUAACUACUGGAAACGGUAGCUAAUACCGCAUAACGUCGCAAGACCAAAGAGGGGGACCUUCGGGCCUCUUGCCAUCGGAUGUGCCCAGAUGGGAUUAGCUAGUAGGUGGGGUAACGGCUCACCUAGGCGACGUUCCCUAGCUGGUCUGAGAGGAUGACCAGCCACACUGGAACUGAGACACGGUCCAGACUCCUACGGGAGGCAGCAGUGGGGAAUAUUGCGCAAUGGGCGCAAGCCUGAUGCAGCCAUGCCGCGUGUAUGAAGAAGGCCUUCGGGUUGUAAAGUACUUUCAGCGGGGAGGAAGGGAGUAAAGUUAAUACCUUUGCUCAUUGACGUUACCCGCAGAAGAAGCACCGGCUAACUCCGUG
This 490-nucleotide ribosomal RNA is filed under the name uncultured bacterium. RNAcentral describes it as "partial 16S ribosomal RNA". It matches the Rfam family "Bacterial small subunit ribosomal RNA", at positions 30 to 507 of the family's 1533-position model. The record is from RNAcentral.